Molecule: ribosomal RNA, 301 nt
Filed under: uncultured bacterium
Lineage: Bacteria
Description: partial 16S ribosomal RNA
Rfam family: Bacterial small subunit ribosomal RNA
Source: RNAcentral
CAGUCGCCGCGGGAAUACGUAGGGUGCGAGCGUUAAUCGGAAUUACUGGGCGUAAAGCGUGCGCAGGCGGCUAUACAAGACAGAUGUGAAAUCCCCGGGCUCAACCUGGGACCUGCAUUUGUGACUGUAUAGCUAGAGUACGGUAGAGGGGGAUGGAAUUCCGCGUGUAGCAGUGAAAUGCGUAGAUAUGCGGAGGAACACCGAUGGCGAAGGCAAUCCCCUGGACCUGUACUGACGCUCAUGCACGAAAGCGUGGGGAGCAAACAGGAUUAGAUACCCCGGUAGUCCCUGUCUCUUAUAA